GAACCUGCGGAAUGAUCAUUGUCGA
This 25-nucleotide ribosomal RNA is filed under the name Ficus cf. oligodon LX-2012. RNAcentral describes it as "partial 18S ribosomal RNA". Lineage: Eukaryota; Viridiplantae; Streptophyta; Magnoliopsida; Rosales; Moraceae. The record is from RNAcentral.